CGUGUUAGUAGAUUUUAGUUGGUUGUAGAAUAUAAUUUGAUUAUUACCUUGAGAAGAGGUUGUUUAAAAAGAUCACUAUAGAAUUUGUAUAACUUUAAUUUCUUUUGAUAGUGGCUUUUAAGAUUGGUUUUGGUUGAUAGUAACUUCUAAAUAUUUAGAGUCACCUUUGUUAGGUAUUGAUGACCUUUGAAAACUUAUUUUGGUUCUUUUAUUUGGUGUUUAGAGCAUAAAUUAUGUAAAUCUUAUAAAAAAAAGGAUUGAAGAAGGGUUUUGGUAGCAAAGGGAGUAAUUAGGGAACCAAUAUAGAUGAAUGGAGAUGAAUAAUGAAAAUCUCCAUUCCUAUUGGUCA
Molecule: long non-coding RNA, 349 nt
Filed under: Physcomitrium patens
Lineage: Eukaryota; Viridiplantae; Streptophyta; Bryopsida; Funariales; Funariaceae
Description: long non-coding RNA (PPAT_LNC012255)
Source: RNAcentral